RNAcentral lists this microRNA precursor (132 nucleotides) under Manihot esculenta (cassava). Lineage: Eukaryota; Viridiplantae; Streptophyta; Magnoliopsida; Malpighiales; Euphorbiaceae. The record is from RNAcentral.
AAGAGAAGAAUAUGUUAGCAUAACCAAGGAUGAUUGCCCAAAGCCAAAAAAAAGUUCUAACAGCAAACAAGAUCAAUGCCUUCUCAGUGUAGCGGGCAAGUCAUCCUUGGCUACCAAACAAGACUCUUACCU